AUUUGUUGGACCUAAAAAGAUCUAUUUUUGUUUUCUAGUUAGUGCAUUAAUCCUGAAUUUAUCUUCUUCAUCCUCUGAAAUGGUCUUGUGAACCAUUCAUAGUGGGUUAGAAUUUUUCUUUUCAGCAACUAUAUUAUUUGAACUACUACAUUUUCAUCUCUUAAUUUCAUUUUUUUCCAUCUCAACCUAAGAGCAUAUGUCCUAAUAAUACACUUUGACAGAAUGAUGCUUAGGAACAUCCUGCUAGAUAUCGAACCACUGUUGCUAUGUGAACACCUCUGUUAUUUCCCUAUUCACACUACAUAUUGUUGAGGCUUUUCCUUUCCCAUCCGUGAUAAUUUCCUUCACCUGAUAGAGAUUUCAGAUUCUCCUUAUUGCAGUGUACCUAUCUAGUGUUGAUGAUCUCUUUAGAGGCCUACUUGCAGGAAGAUCCUCCAUUACAUUGAAGAGCCUCGGUGAUCGAAGAAGUCAUUGAUUUAAAAGUCAUUUUCGCUUAAGCGAGAAUAAUUUAGCUUAAGCGAGAAUGACUAUCUUCUUCAAGAAGUUUAUUCUCGCUUAAGCGAGAAUAAUUUAGCUUAAGCGAGAAUUUGGGCAGUAUAUAUACUCACGAGGCAGAAAGAAAAAAGGGUCUUUGGUUCUUUGGAGGCGCGAUUUCACGUCUGGAGCUCAUGGAGGGCGCGAGGAGCUUGUGGGAACAUCUCCUCAUCUUUCUUUGGGUCUCCUUCUUCUUCCAUCUUCCAUGUUUGUAAGCUUUAGGGUUCUCCAUGGAAAUGGAGAACCAGAUUCAUCUUGUUAGGGUUAGAUGUAGCCUAUGAACUCUUGUG
RNAcentral lists this small RNA (824 nucleotides) under Vigna angularis var. angularis. RNAcentral's name for it is "Non-protein coding transcript". Lineage: Eukaryota; Viridiplantae; Streptophyta; Magnoliopsida; Fabales; Fabaceae. The record is from RNAcentral.